This 460-nucleotide ribosomal RNA is filed under the name uncultured bacterium. RNAcentral's name for it is "partial 16S ribosomal RNA". It matches the Rfam family "Bacterial small subunit ribosomal RNA", at positions 338 to 795 of the family's 1533-position model. The record is from RNAcentral.
CCUACGGGAGGCAGCAGUGAGGAAUAUUGGUCAAUGGACGAGAGUCUGAACCAGCCAAGUAGCGUGAAGGAUGACUGCCCUAUGGGUUGUAAACUUCUUUUAUAUGGGAAUAAAAUGUUCCACGUGUGGGAUUUUGUAUGUACCAUAUGAAUAAGGAUCGGCUAACUCCGUGCCAGCAGCCGCGGUAAUACGGAGGAUCCGAGCGUUAUCCGGAUUUAUUGGGUUUAAAGGGAGCGUAGGUGGAUUGUUAAGUCAGUUGUGAAAGUUUGCGGCUCAACCGUAAAAUUGCAGUUGAAACUGGCAGUCUUGAGUACAGGAGAGGUGGGCGGAAUUCGGGGUGUAGCGGUGAAAUGCUUAGAUAUCACGAAGAACUCCGAUGGCGAAGGCAGUUCACUGGACUGCAACUGACACUGAGGCUCGAAAGUGUGGGUAUCAAACAGGAUUAGAUACCCGUGUAGUC